This 301-nucleotide ribosomal RNA is filed under the name uncultured bacterium. RNAcentral's name for it is "partial 16S ribosomal RNA". It matches the Rfam family "Bacterial small subunit ribosomal RNA", at positions 509 to 807 of the family's 1533-position model. The record is from RNAcentral.
CAGCCGCCGCGGUAAUACGAAGGGUGCAAGCGUUAAUCGGAAUUACUGGGCGUAAAGCGUGCGUAGGCGGUGAGUUAAGUCUGCUGUGAAAUCCCCGGGCUCAACCUGGGAAUGGCAGUGGAUACUGGCUCGCUAGAGUGUGUCAGAGGAUGGUGGAAUUCCCGGUGUAACGGUGAAAUGCGUAGAGAUCGGGAGGAACAUCAGUGGCGAAGGCGGCCAUCUGGGACAACACUGACGCUGAAGCACGAAAGCGUGGGGAGCAAACAGGAUUAGAUACCCCAGUAGUCCCUGUCUCUUAUAC